Molecule: ribosomal RNA, 434 nt
Filed under: uncultured bacterium
Lineage: Bacteria
Description: bacterial SSU rRNA
Rfam family: Bacterial small subunit ribosomal RNA
Source: RNAcentral
GAUGAACGCCGGCGGCGUGCUUAACACAUGCAAGUCGAGCGAGAAGUUUUGAAAAGAUUCUUCGGAUGAAAUUUAAAAUGGAAAGCGGCGGACGGGUGAGUAACGCGUAGGCAACCUGCCCCAUACAAAGGGAUAGCAUUUGGAAACGAAUAUUAAUACCUUAUGAAACUUAACUAGUGCAUGCUAGGUAGGUCAAAGAUUUAUCGGUAUGGGAUGGGCCUGCGUCUGAUUAGCUAGUUGGUGAGGUAACGGCUCACCAAGGCGACGAUCAGUAGCCGACCUGAGAGGGUGAACGGCCACAUUGGAACUGAGACACGGUCCAAACUCCUACGGGAGGCAGCAGUGGGGAAUAUUGCACAAUGGGGGAAACCCUGAUGCAGCAACGCCGCGUGAACGAUGAAGGCCUUUGGGUCGUAAAGUUCUNUUCUAGGUGA